GCUAAAAAUCUAGCUUAAGUAUAUAAAUUAAUAUAACAACAUAAAAAACUUUACUAAACCAAAACCACAAAAAUUAAAACAUUCUCCCACCCUAGUAUGAGUGACAGAAAAGGUUCCUAUAAGCCAUAAAAUAGUACCGCAAGGGAAAGAUGAAAAAGAAAUGAAAUAAACCAUUUAAGCCCAAAAAAGCAGAGAUUAAACCUCGUACCUUUUGCAUCAUGAUUUAGCCAGUCACCAUGAGCAAAGAGCACUUUAGUUCAUUACCCCGAAACUAAGUGAGCUACCCCGAGACAGCCUAAUAAAGGGCCAACCCAUCUCUGUAGCAAAAGAGUGGGAAGAUCUCCGGGUAGAGGUGAUAAACCUACCGAACCUAGUUAUAGCUGGUUGCCUAAGAAAUGAAUAGAAGUUCAGCCUCGCCUUCCUCAACUCAAAAAGUUAUUACUAAGCAAGAGUCCGAGAAAUGUACGAGAGUUAGUCAGAAGGGGUACAGCCCGUCUGAAAAGGGACACAACCCUACCAGGAGGUUAAAGAUUAUAAUAAAUAAGAUUCCUGUCCUAGUGGGCUUAAAAGCAGCCACCUAAACAGAAAGCGUUAAAGCUCAAACAGACUAAAAAUCAAUUAUCACAAUAAUUUUAAUCCUAAACCCCUAAUUAUAUUAGGCCAUUCUAUGCACACAUAGAAGCAAUACUGCUAAAAUGAGUAAUAAGAAGACACCCCUUCUCCUGGCCCACGUGUAUGAUAGAACGGACCAUCCACUAUCUAUUAACGAACCCACCCAAAGAGGGUAAUAUGACCAUAAAUAUAAACAAGAAAAAAUCAUAUUUACCAUCGUUAACCCCACACCGGAGGGCCUACAAGGAAAGACUAAAAGAAAAAGAAGGAACUCGGCAAAUACAAGCCUCGCCUGUUUACCAAAAACAUCGCCUCCCGCAAAAAACACAUGAGAGGUCUUACCUGCCCAGUGACAUGUUAAACGGCCGCGGUAUUUUGACCGUGCAAAGGUAGCGCAAUCACUUGUCUUUUAAAUGAAGACCCGUAUGAAUGGUGNAACGAGGGCUUAACUGUCUCCCUUUUCUAGUCAAUGGAAUUGAUCUACCCGUGCAGAAGCGAGUCUAAAAAUACAAGACGAGAAGACCCUUUGGAGCUUAAGAUACAAAACCACCUAUGUAAUAAUUAAAUAAUAAACCAAAUAGCUCUGGUUUACAUCUUUGGUUGGGGCGACCACGGGAGAAAACAAAGCUCCCCUGAAGACAGGGAAUAUCCUAAAGCCAAGAAAGACGUCUCUAAGACACAGAACAUCUGACCAUAUUGAUCCGGCCUACCCGCCGAUCAACGAACCAAGUUACCCUAGGGAUAACAGCGCAAUCCCCUUUGAGAGUUCAUAUCGACAAGGGGGUUU
This 1399-nucleotide ribosomal RNA is filed under the name Rhadinoloricaria aff. macromystax ANSP 182349. Its description in RNAcentral is "partial 16S ribosomal RNA". It matches the Rfam family "Bacterial large subunit ribosomal RNA", at positions 179 to 2519 of the family's 2925-position model. The record is from RNAcentral. Lineage: Eukaryota; Metazoa; Chordata; Actinopteri; Siluriformes; Loricariidae.